UUUGCAUGAUUCUCAUUGGUGGUUUGCACC
This 30-nucleotide non-coding RNA is filed under the name Rattus norvegicus (Norway rat). Lineage: Eukaryota; Metazoa; Chordata; Mammalia; Rodentia; Muridae. The record is from RNAcentral.